Molecule: ribosomal RNA, 497 nt
Filed under: uncultured bacterium
Lineage: Bacteria
Description: partial 16S ribosomal RNA
Rfam family: Bacterial small subunit ribosomal RNA
Source: RNAcentral
GAUGAACGCUGGCGGCGUGCCUAAUACAUGUAAGUCGAGCGAACAGACGAGGAGCUUGCUCCUCUGACGUUAGCGGCGGACGGGUGAGUAACACGUGGAUAACCUACCUAUAAGACUGGGAUAACUUCGGGAAACCGGAGCUAAUACCGGAUAAUAUAUUGAACCGCAUGGUUCAAUAGUGAAAGACGGUUUUGCUGUCACUUAUAGAUGGAUCCGCGCCGCAUUAGCUAGUUGGUAAGGUAACGGCUUACCAAGGCGACGAUGCGUAGCCGACCUGAGAGGGUGAUCGGCCACACUGGAACUGAGACACGGUCCAGACUCCUACGGGAGGCAGCAGUAGGGAAUCUUCCGCAAUGGGCGAAAGCCUGACGGAGCAACGCCGCGUGAGUGAUGAAGGUCUUCGGAUCGUAAAACUCUGUUAUUAGGGAAGAACAAAUGUGUAAGUAACUAUGCACGGCUUGACGGUACCUAAUCAGAAAGCCACGGCUAACUACGUG